This 202-nucleotide long non-coding RNA is filed under the name Ananas comosus (pineapple). RNAcentral describes it as "long non-coding RNA (ACOM_LNC000223)". Lineage: Eukaryota; Viridiplantae; Streptophyta; Magnoliopsida; Poales; Bromeliaceae. The record is from RNAcentral.
UAUAUAUAUAUAUAUAUAUAUAUGAGUCCAGCUAUGGUGCUUGUAAAAGCACCAAGUACUUGGUGCUUGUAAGUUUUUUACCGUUAGAUCUACUCCUCGGAUCAUUUUUAAUCAUUAGAUUAUACUAUUCAACCAACCACCGACUAAACUCUAAAGGGUCCACAUCAUCCUAAUCGCAUAUCUUUUAAUUCAAUAGAUAAAA